RNAcentral lists this ribosomal RNA (253 nucleotides) under uncultured bacterium. Its description in RNAcentral is "partial 16S ribosomal RNA". It matches the Rfam family "Bacterial small subunit ribosomal RNA", at positions 524 to 776 of the family's 1533-position model. The record is from RNAcentral.
UACGGAGGGGGCUAGCGUUGUUCGGAAUUACUGGGCGUAAAGCGCACGUAGGCGGCUUUGUAAGUUAGAGGUGAAAGCCCAGGGCUUAACCCUGGAAUUGCCUUUAAGACUGCAUCGCUCGAAUUGUGGAGAGGUGAGUGGAAUUCCGAGUGUAGAGGUGAAAUGCGUAGAUAUCGGGAGGAACACCUGUGGCGAAAGCGGCUCACUGGACCAUAACUGACGCUGAUGCACGAAAGCUGGGGGAGCAAACAGG